UGAUCCCUUUAUAGAGAGUUGUUCUGUUGAGGUUGAGUGAUGAAAGCAGGCAGCCCUGGGUCUUGGUGACAGAUCACUGGGUGGACGUGGGAAAAUGUUUGGAGUGUUUCUUAGUUCUUUUCUUUUUUUUUUUUUUUUUUUUUUUGAGAUGGAGUUUCGCUCUUGUUGCCCAGGCUGGAGUACAAUGGUGCAAUCUCGGCUCACCACAACCUCUGCCUCCUGGGUUCAAGCGAUUCUUCUGCCUCAGCCUCCUGAGUAGCUGGGACUACAGGUGUGCACCACCAUGCCAACUAAUUUUUG
This 300-nucleotide long non-coding RNA is filed under the name Homo sapiens (human). Its description in RNAcentral is "HSALNT0255476". Lineage: Eukaryota; Metazoa; Chordata; Mammalia; Primates; Hominidae. The record is from RNAcentral.